This 494-nucleotide ribosomal RNA is filed under the name Streptococcus mutans. RNAcentral's name for it is "bacterial SSU rRNA". It matches the Rfam family "Bacterial small subunit ribosomal RNA", at positions 28 to 498 of the family's 1533-position model. Lineage: Bacteria; Bacillati; Bacillota; Bacilli; Lactobacillales; Streptococcaceae. The record is from RNAcentral.
GACGAACGCUGGCGGCGUGCCUAAUACAUGCAAGUGGGACGCAAGGGAACACACUGUGCUUGCACACCGUGUUUUCUUGAGUCGCGAACGGGUGAGUAACGCGUAGGUAACCUGCCUAUUAGCGGGGGAUAACUAUUGGAAACGAUAGCUAAUACCGCAUAAUAUUAAUUAUUGCAUGAUAAUUGAUUGAAAGAUGCAAGCGCAUCACUAGUAGAUGGACCUGCGUUGUAUUAGCUGGUUGGUAAGGUAAGAGCUUACCAAGGCGACGAUACAUAGCCGACCUGAGAGGGUGAUCGGCCACACUGGGACUGAGACACGGCCCAGACUCCUACGGGAGGCAGCAGUAGGGAAUCUUCGGCAAUGGACGAAAGUCUGACCGAGCAACGCCGCGUGAGUGAAGAAGGUUUUCGGAUCGUAAAGCUCUGUUGUAAGUCAAGAACGUGUGUGAGAGUGGAAAGUUCACACAGUGACGGUAGCUUACCAGAAAGGCGGCU